This 1658-nucleotide long non-coding RNA is filed under the name Apteryx owenii (little spotted kiwi). RNAcentral describes it as "lncRNA (ENSAOWG00000008077.1)". Lineage: Eukaryota; Metazoa; Chordata; Aves; Apterygiformes; Apterygidae. The record is from RNAcentral.
CCUGGCGGCGCAGGACGCCAUCGUCUUCUCGGAUGGAGCCGGAGACGCCGGGCGCCGGGAGCCGGGCGCCGAGGAACCGGCUCGGGGCGCCGACGUCUUCUGGGCCAGCCUCGUGCAAGCUCAGAUGUGCGUGUGGGACCUGCAGGGAGCCAUCGAGGGGCAGCCGGCGGCUGGUGGCAUCUCGCACGAGCAUCACGGCCACGUGCCGAUGGCCGGGAGCAUUCCGCACGAGCACCGAGGCGGCCUAGCCACGUACGAGAGCGGCUCGCACGAGCACCGAGGCCACGUGCCCAUAGAUGGGAGCGUCUUGCAUGAGCACCAAGGCCACGUGCCCCCGGAUGGGAGCUUCUCGCACGACUACGUGCCUGCGGGUGGGAGCAUCUUGCAUGAGUACGUGCCCACGGAUGGGAGCAUCUCGCACGACUAUGUGCCUGCAGGUGGGAGCAUCUCGCAUGAAAGCGUGUCCAUGGAUGGGAGCAUCUCGCACGAGUUCGUGCCUGCAGAAGGGAGCAUCUCACACGAACACGUGCUCAUGGAUGGGAGCAUCUCGCACAAGCGUGUGCCCACAGAUGGGAGCAUCUCGCAUGAGUUCGUGCCUGCAGAAGGGAGCAUCUCACACGAACACGUGCUCAUGGAUGGGAGCAUCUCUCACAAGCGCGUGCCCACGGAUGGGAGCAUCUCGCAUGAGUACGUGCCUGCGGAUAGGAGCCCCUCGCACAAGCACGUGCCCAUGGAUGAGAGCAUCUUGCACGUGGAUGGGAGCCUCUUGCACGACUACGUGCCCGCAGAAGGGAGCGUCUUGCACGAGUUUGUGCCUACAGAUGGGAGCAUCUCGCACGACUACGUGCCCAGGGAUGGGACCAUCUCGCACGACUUCGUGCCUAUAGAAGGGAGCAUCUCGCACGACUACGUGCCCGCAGAAGGGAGCGUCUCGCACGAGUUCGUGUCUGCAGAAAGGAGCAUCUCGCACGACUACGUGCCCACGGAUGGGAGCAUCUCGCGCGAGUUCGUGCCUAUAGAAGGGAACAUCUCGCAUGACUACGUGCCUGCAGAAAGGAGCAUCUCACACGACUACGUGCCUGCGGAAAGGAGCAUCUCGCACGACUACAUGCCCACGGAUGGGACCAUCUUGCAUGAGUUUGUGCCCACGGAUGGGACCAUCUCUCACGACUACGUUCCCACGGAUGGGACCAUCUCGCAUGAGUUUGUGCCCACGGAUGGGAGCAUCUCGCACGACUACGUGCCCACGGACGGGAACCUCUCGCACGAGCGUCAGGACCACGAGUCCGGAGAGGAGGACGAGGACGAAGAGGAGGACGGCGGCUCGUCCUCCCGGGAGGAGGACGCCGAGGAGGACGAGGAAGACCUGGAGGAGGAAGAGCGCCACUUCUACACCAACCCCCUCUUCCGGGGCCUGGCGCCGGGGGGCUCGGCCGGCGGAUGCCCCCCGCCGCCCCGCUGCCCGGUGCCCGUGUACAAGCCGCACGGUGCCGCCUUGGAGCCGCUGCUGAUCACGGAGCAGGACAUCGCGGGCGCUUGUGCCAUGGGGGGCACCGAGGAGGACGUGGCAGCGCGGAGCGACGGUGCCGGCACUGCGGAGCGGGGAUCUCCCGGCUCCCCAGGCCUGGCGCUCUCCGACCCCCCGGAUCUGCCCCCGG